This 482-nucleotide ribosomal RNA is filed under the name uncultured bacterium. RNAcentral's name for it is "partial 16S ribosomal RNA". It matches the Rfam family "Bacterial small subunit ribosomal RNA", at positions 30 to 507 of the family's 1533-position model. The record is from RNAcentral.
AUUGAACGCUGGCGGCAUGCCUUACACAUGCAAGUCGAACGGUAACAGGUCUUCGGAUGCUGACGAGUGGCGAACGGGUGAGUAAUACAUCGGAACGUGCCCAGACGUGGGGGAUAACGAGGCGAAAGCUUUGCUAAUACCGCAUACGAUCUAAGGAUGAAAGCAGGGGACCGCAAGGCCUUGUGCGUUUGGAGCGGCCGAUGGCAGAUUAGGUAGUUGGUGGGAUAAAAGCUUACCAAGCCGACGAUCUGUAGCUGGUCUGAGAGGACGACCAGCCACACUGGGACUGAGACACGGACCAGACUCCUACGGGAGGCAGCAGUGGGGAAUUUUGGACAAUGGGCGAAAGCCUGAUCCAGCAAUGCCGCGUGCAGGAUGAAGGCCUUCGGGUUGUAAACUGCUUUUGUACGGAACGAAAAGGCUCUGGCUAAUACCUGGGGCACAUGACGGUACCGUAAGAAUAAGCACCGGCUAACUACGUG